GAACUUGAAUCAUGCUGUCUACUUUAUACCCGUGCAUUACCUUUACCACAAGAUCAGAAGAGAUGCAGAAGCCAUCAGUCCAAGCCAAGGGAAGUGUCAAUCCAUUUGAGAGAUCUGAUGAGAAGGAAGGAGAAUGGUUAGAAGUCCAGUAAACACAUCAGAACUGGGGAUAUAUGUGUGAACUAUGAGGAGGGACAAGUUGAAUUUUAUUGCCAUGAACGACAGCACACAAGCAGAAUUGCAACAGCACAACUAAGAUGAUCCUCCACACUGUAAACUCAAGUCCACUCUUGCUUACUUUUCACAUAAAGAAAAUACCUACUGUUUCCAU
Tympanuchus pallidicinctus (lesser prairie-chicken) is the source of this 331-nucleotide long non-coding RNA. RefSeq lists it as uncharacterized. Lineage: Eukaryota; Metazoa; Chordata; Aves; Galliformes; Phasianidae. The record is from RefSeq and is a predicted model, not a curated record. The transcript has 3 exons.